RNAcentral lists this unclassified non-coding RNA (402 nucleotides) under Listeria monocytogenes serotype 4b str. H7858. Its description in RNAcentral is "sRNA". Lineage: Bacteria; Bacillati; Bacillota; Bacilli; Caryophanales; Listeriaceae. The record is from RNAcentral.
UUCUAGUAUGCGACUUGACGUGAUUAUUAGUAAUGCACAUCAUAUUUCUAGACAGAAGGCGAAACAAUUGGUUACUGCGGGACUAGUAAAAGUCAACUGGAAAACAGUGGAAAACCCGGAUUUUGAAUGUGAAGAAGAAGAUGUAUUGUCUGCUCGCGGAUAUGGUCGGGUAAAAGUACUAUCAACUGGCGGCAGAACGAAAAAAGAUAAAAUUAGGAUUGAAAUUGGCUAUUUAAAAUAAAAACGAAAGCAGUUGCUGCUUUCGUUUCAGAUAUAGUAAUGAGUAGUACCUAAUGUCAUAUGUUGUCAAAUGGUCUUAUGUUAUUAUUAAAUAUGAAAAGAGAGUCAUGCGCUAAGAUGACUCUCAAGUAUAAGCCCAUUUAAGGUGGCAGCUAGCUUAAU